AAAAUGUGGAGUGUCAGUCAAGAGGCAACACUAGGAGGCAAGGAAUCUGCAUUUCUUUCAGACCUUGGCAGAGAGCGCCCUGGGAAAUGCGGAUAUAGAAGGUCAGGAGAACAUCUCUCCUGGUUAUACAGCAUUCCAGGACUCCUCAUCUGUUUUUAAGAGGGAAAUCUGAGUUUUCAAGGAAAGCCGAAUACAGUUGCCAAGUUGCCAGUCAAAGAAACAAUGUCAACACCUGCUCAUAGAGAUGGAAUUCCUAACCCGGAAUAUUGCCCUUGAAUUACAACGAGAAAAAGCACCUCUUCAAGUGAGAUGGCAGACCACCUCAGGAUGGAAAUGUAUUUCUUCAUCCCCCUCUCUACUUCCCUGUGACCUCCUGCAAAUAAGGGAGAGACAAAGAGAAGAGCAGAAGAACAGAAGAAUGGAGUGGCAAAGAGAAGAGAAGGAGUGACUGAACAUUGACAAGACUUUGGUUGGGGAUGGUCAGAGAGGAGAUUAGCUGCUAGACGGCCACACUGCGGAGAAAGAUCAUUUUCCCACUCCAUCCCCCUUCCAGCUCCCCAUCCAUCUCACCAAGAGCCAGCUCCACCACUCAAUAAAACCUUACAUUCAUCUUUCAAGUCUGUGUGUGACCUGAUUCUUCCUGGAUGCUGGACAAGGACUUGGGUAUCAAGAGGGCACUGAGCUGGUUAACACUUAAGCUGUUCAUGGACAACAAGGCUAGCACUGUAACACGCUGACUGGGGCUUUGGGAGUCAUGGACACCCACCCCUAGAUGCUGCCAUGGGGCUGGAACCCAGGGGUGCUCAUCCCAGCUCCUACACCUGCCCAUCUGUGUGCUCCCCAGCCUGUAAGGAGUUUAAGCACACAGCACCAGAAUAAAUGAGGCAUAUCCCUGUUGCUCAUCCUGCAAGGGGGUUCAGGGAACUCUCCCAUUUCAGUGAGAUGGGUUGAAAUGUGUUUAGUUGAAUAUCUGGAGCCAUCUAAACCUCAGAAAUAAAACCCCAGUUGACUCAAAGUCAGCAAGUUGGAGGUCAUGACCUUCAGUUCUUUAUUUAUUUUUUUUUUUUGGGAAGGAGUCUUGCUCUGCCACCAGGCUAGAGUGCAGUGGCACGAUCUUGGCUCACUGCAAGCUCUGCCUCCCAGGUUUAAG
This 1150-nucleotide long non-coding RNA is filed under the name Homo sapiens (human). Its description in RNAcentral is "non-protein coding lnc-USP6NL-7:7". The record is from RNAcentral. Lineage: Eukaryota; Metazoa; Chordata; Mammalia; Primates; Hominidae.